Heterocephalus glaber (naked mole-rat) is the source of this 1118-nucleotide non-coding RNA. NCBI's taxonomy places the organism in Eukaryota, Metazoa, Chordata, Mammalia, Rodentia, Bathyergidae. The record is from RefSeq and is a predicted model, not a curated record.
GGCACAGACCACAGAGGUCAGCUUCGGAGCCUGCAGGGCCAACGCUCACCCGACUGGCCAGGCCCAGACAUUCCAGGGAGCCUGUCCUGCUGCAUUGCUGCGUUUGCCUGUGCCUGGCUAGACAGGCGCUUCUGGGAAACUGCCACUCAUUCCUGUGCCCACUCCGGUGCGCUACACCCACAGGCCUUCCACAGGCACUCCAGUGGCCUGCCCUCUUCCCACGCCUGCCUGAACAGGGCCUAUUCUCUCCCUUGCUGUCACUCAGGAUACGCCCCACUGCUCAGACCCCCCCAGUCCUGCUACCCCCCACGCCCAUCAAGACUGCCUACCCUCUGGCACUCACAUAUUCACGAAUGUUCUUGGUCUUCACAGCCUUGUAGGAAGCGUAAGAUGGAUAGAGCAUCCCAAAUACCAGCCUGGAAGAGCAGACAUAGGGAGUGUGAAGGGCACCACACCUUACCCUCACUCUGCCAGGCAGCUGCCCCCCCCAGCCACCACUGGGGUUCCAGGCAGCAGUGCCUGCCUCGUUUUUCCCGAUUGGCUUGCAUAACCCGUGGUGCCUGAGUCAGUGCCCUGGAGGCCACCUCCCCACCCUGGUGUUUACAAACAUCCCCAGCCUGCCCAGGCCUGCAGAGGUGACCCAUGGGUACAUGGUGAUGCCAGAGCACAGCUGCACAGCCGCUCAACGAGGUGGGUGACAGCCCCAGACUGUCCCCUCCCACGGGCAUGCAAUGAGGCCCAGGGCCACCAGACCUGGCACCACCAAACUGCAGACCCGGAUAUUUGAGCCAGGUGCUGGAGUCCUCAGAGAAGAAAUUGAGGCUCAGAGAAAUUGGUCGACUUGCUUGAAAUCUCACACUGAGCAAAGUGGCAGAGCUCGAAUGCACACGUGUGCGGUGCAGACGAAGCCCAGACAGCGUCCUGCCGUGCACAGGCCACAGAUCUGCGUGAAGGAGAAGUCGCUGCCCAGCGCCAGGUAGCGGUGGCCACCCACCAGGAAGGGCUGCAGGGCCAGGGAGCCGCGGGAGGGCAGCGCCUGUACCUCGGAGAAGCGGGUGGCCUCCCAGCGCAGGAUCUUGGAGUCACCGAUGUAGCGGCUGAGGCACAGGUAGCUGUCA